CAUAUUAAAGUUUAUUUGAAUAUUUUCUUUUACAUUGAAGAGGGCUCUUAGUUGAGUAAUAUGAUAAAGAUAUUUUUGAUGGAA
RNAcentral lists this transfer RNA (84 nucleotides) under Eurymerodesmus caesariatus. Its description in RNAcentral is "tRNA-Val". The record is from RNAcentral. Lineage: Eukaryota; Metazoa; Arthropoda; Diplopoda; Polydesmida; Eurymerodesmidae.